UGAACGCUGGCGGCGUGCCUAAUACAUGCAAGUCGUACGUAACUCCUUUAUCACCGAGUGCUUGCACUCACCGAUAAAGAGUUGAGUGGCGAACGGGUGAGUAACACGUGGGCAACCUGCCCAAAAGAGGGGGAUAACACUUGGAAACAGGUGCUAAUACCGCAUAACCAUAGUUACCGCAUGGUAACUAUGUAAAAGGUGGCUAUGCUACCGCUUUUGGAUGGCCCCGCGGCGCAUUAGCUAGUUGGUGGGGUAAAGGCUUACCAAGGCAAUGAUGCGUAGCCGAACUGAGAGGUUGAUCGGCCACAUUGGGACUGAGACACGGCCCAAACUCCUACGGGAGGCAGCAGUAGGGAAUCUUCCACAAUGGGCGAAAGCCUGAUGGAGCAACGCCGCGUGGGUGAAGAAGGUCUUCGGAUCGUAAAACCCUGUUGUUAGAGAAGAAAGUGCGUGAGAGUAACUGUUCACGUUUCGACGGUAUCUAACCAGAAAGCCACGGCUAACUACGUGCCAGCAGCCGCGGUAAUACGUAGGUGGCAAGCGUUAUCCGGAUUUAUUGGGCGUAAAGGGAACGCAGGCGGUCUUUUAAGUCUGAUGUGAAAGCCUUCGGCUUAACCGGAGUAGUGCAUUGGAAACUGGGAGACUUGAGUGCAGAAGAGGAGAGUGGAACUCCAUGUGUAGCGGUGAAAUGCGUAGAUAUAUGGAAGAACACCAGUGGCGAAAGCGGCUCUCUGGUCUGUAACUGACGCUGAGGUUCGAAAGCGUGGGUAGCAAACAGG
Molecule: ribosomal RNA, 779 nt
Filed under: uncultured Lactobacillus sp.
Lineage: Bacteria; Bacillati; Bacillota; Bacilli; Lactobacillales; Lactobacillaceae
Description: bacterial SSU rRNA
Rfam family: Bacterial small subunit ribosomal RNA
Source: RNAcentral